Molecule: ribosomal RNA, 253 nt
Filed under: uncultured bacterium
Lineage: Bacteria
Description: partial 16S ribosomal RNA
Rfam family: Bacterial small subunit ribosomal RNA
Source: RNAcentral
UACGGGGGGGGCAAGCGUUGUUCGGAAUUACUGGGCUUAAAGGGUUUGUAGGCGGCCACGUAAGUCAGGUGUGAAAGCCCUCGGCUCAACCGAGGAACGGCGCUUGAUACUGCGUGGCUUGAGGGAGACAGGGGUAAGCGGAACUGAUGGUGGAGCGGUGAAAUGCGUUGAUAUCAUCAGGAACACCGGUGGCGAAAGCGGCUUACUGGGUCUCUUCUGACGCUGAGGAACGAAAGCUAGGGUAGCGAACGGG